RNAcentral lists this ribosomal RNA (1437 nucleotides) under Allocoprococcus comes. RNAcentral describes it as "Coprococcus comes partial 23S ribosomal RNA". It matches the Rfam family "Bacterial large subunit ribosomal RNA", at positions 1468 to 2925 of the family's 2925-position model. Lineage: Bacteria; Bacillati; Bacillota; Clostridia; Lachnospirales; Lachnospiraceae. The record is from RNAcentral.
GGGGACGCAGAGGGAGAGCACUAGCGGGAAUGGAAUCCCGUGGCAAGCGAGGUAGGAGUCGCGUUGGCAAAUCCGCGUGACAAUCCGAAGACGUGAUGCAUACCGAACUAGAGUAGGGAAAUGUGUGAGCCAGCUGCCAAGAAAAGCCGCUAUUGUUUGUACUGUACCCGUACCGUAAACCGACACAGGUAGGUGAGGAGAGAAUCCUAAGGCCGACGGGAGAAGCAUUGUUAAGGAACUCGGCAAAAUGACUCCGUAACUUCGGGAGAAGGAGUGCCAGUGAGAGCUGGCCGCAGAGAAUUGGCCCAAGCAACUGUUUAGCAAAAACACAGGUCUAUGCAAAACCGUAAGGUGAAGUAUAUGGGCUGACGCCUGCCCGGUGCUGGAAGGUUAAGGGGAGAGGUUAGCGCAAGCGAAGCUUUGAACUUAAGCCCCAGUAAACGGCGGCCGUAACUAUAACGGUCCUAAGGUAGCGAAAUUCCUUGUCGGGUAAGUUCCGACCCGCACGAAAGGCGUAAUGAUUUGGGCACUGUCUCAACAAUGCACCCGGUGAAAUUGAAAUACCAGUGAAGAUGCUGGUUACCUGCGCCAGGACGGAAAGACCCCAUGGAGCUUUACUCCAGCUUGAUACUGGGAUUCGAUAUUGUAUGUACAGGAUAGGUGGGAGGCGAAGAAGCAUUGACGCCAGUUGAUGCGGAGCCGCUGUUGGGAUACCACCCUUGCAGUAUUGGAUUUCUAACCAGCAGCCGUGACCCGGCUGGGGGACAAUGUCAGGUGGGGAGUUUGACUGGGGCGGUCGCCUCCGAAAGGGUAUCGGAGGCGCUCAAAGGUUCCCUCAGAAUGGUUGGAAACCAUUCGAAGAGUGCAAAGGCAGAAGGGAGCUUGACUGCGACACCGACGGGUGGAGCAGGUACGAAAGUAGGACUUAGUGAUCCGGUGGUAUAAAGUGGGAUUGCCAUCGCUCAACGGAUAAAAGCUACCCUGGGGAUAACAGGCUUAUCACUCCCAAGAGUUCACAUCGACGGAGUGGUUUGGCACCUCGAUGUCGGCUCAUCGCAUCCUGGGGCUGAAGUAGGUCCCAAGGGUUGGGCUGUUCGCCCAUUAAAGCGGUACGCGAGCUGGGUUCAGAACGUCGUGAGACAGUUCGGUCCCUAUCCGGCGUGGGCGUAGGAUAUUUGAGAGGAGCUGGCCUUAGUACGAGAGGACCGGGCUGGACUGACCGCUGGUGUAUCUGUUGUUCCGCCAGGAGCAUGGCAGAGUAGCCAAGUCAGGAAGGGAUAAACGCUGAAGGCAUCUAAGCGUGAAGCCCCCCUCAAGAUGAGAUAUCCCAACGCAAGUUGUAAGACCCCUUGAAGACGACAAGGUAGAUAGGGCAGAGGUGGAAGUGCAGUAAUGCAUGGAGCUGACUGUUACUAAUCGGUCGAGGGCAUAACCAAG